RNAcentral lists this ribosomal RNA (763 nucleotides) under uncultured Leptotrichia sp. Its description in RNAcentral is "bacterial SSU rRNA". It matches the Rfam family "Bacterial small subunit ribosomal RNA", at positions 70 to 853 of the family's 1533-position model. Lineage: Bacteria; Fusobacteriati; Fusobacteriota; Fusobacteriia; Fusobacteriales; Leptotrichiaceae. The record is from RNAcentral.
GAAGCUGUGCUUGCACAGCCUAGCCAAGGCGGACGGGUGAGUAACGCGUAAGGAACUUGCCCUGCAGUCAGGGAUAACAGACGGAAACGACUGAUAAGACCUGGUAAAGUCAGGCGGACUCAUGUCCAGCCUGAUGAAAAGAGAUGCUGCAGGAGAGCCUUGCGUCCUAUUAGCUUGUUGGUGGGGUAACGGCCCACCAAGGCGAUGAUAGGUAGCCGGCCUGAGAGGGUGGACGGCCACAAGGGGACUGAGAUACGGCCCUUACUCCUACGGGAGGCAGCAGUGGGGAAUAUUGGACAAUGGGGGCAACCCUGAUCCAGCAAUUCUGUGUGCACGAUGAAGGUUUUCGGAUUGUAAAGUGCUUUCAGCAGGGAAGAAACAAGUGACGGUACCUGCAGAAGAAGCGACGGCUAAAUGACGUGCCAGCAGCCGCGGUAAUACGUAUGUCGCAAGCGUUAUCCGGAAUUAUUGGGCAUAAAGGGCAUCUAGGCGGCCAGAUAAGUCUGGGGUGAAACUUGCGGCUCAACCGCAAGCCUGCCCUGGAACUAUGUGGCUAGAGUACUGGAGAGGUGGACGGAACUGCACGAGUAGAGGUGAAUUCGUAGAUAUGUGCAGGAAUGCCGAUGAUGAAGAUAGUUCACUGGACGGUAACUGACGCUGAAGUGCGAAAGCUAGGGGAGCAAACAGGAUUAGAUAUCCUGGUAGUCCUAGCUGUAAACGAUGAUCACUGGGUGUGGGCAUGAAGAGUGUCCGUGCCGAAGCU